ACCGACGUCGGCAGGUUUAAAACUGGAAUGAUGCAAAAAACCCGGCUUCUGGCAGAGCACCCCUCCCCUUCCCCCCUCCCCUCAGGCUACAUUUUACAUCGCUACGUUUUGGUUUUUUAAGCGUUUGAGUUUUGAGCCCAAAGUGAUCUCCGUGCACCGAGUAAGGGGAAUGAGAGGGGGAAACGCCAGAGCA
Long non-coding RNA from Sander lucioperca (pikeperch), 193 nucleotides. RefSeq lists it as uncharacterized. The record is from RefSeq and is a predicted model, not a curated record. The transcript has 3 exons. Lineage: Eukaryota; Metazoa; Chordata; Actinopteri; Perciformes; Percidae.